This 253-nucleotide ribosomal RNA is filed under the name uncultured bacterium. Its description in RNAcentral is "partial 16S ribosomal RNA". It matches the Rfam family "Bacterial small subunit ribosomal RNA", at positions 524 to 776 of the family's 1533-position model. The record is from RNAcentral.
UACGUAGGGUGCGAGCGUUAAUCGGAAUUACUGGGCGUAAAGGGUGCGCAGGCGGCAGAGCAAGUCGAGUGUGAAAGCCCCGGGCUUAACCUGGGAACUGCGUUUGAAACUGGGAGACUUGAGUGUGGCAGAGGGGGGUGGAAUUCCACGUGUAGCAGUGAAAUGCGUAGAUAUGUGGAGGAACACCGAUGGCGAAGGCAGCCCCCUGGGUUAACACUGACGCUCAUGCACGAAAGCGUGGGGAGCAAACAGG